GACGAACGCUGGCGGCGCGCCUAACACAUGCAAGUCGAACGAGCGAGAGAGAGCUUGCUUUCUCAAGCGAGUGGCGAACGGGUGAGUAACGCGUGAGGAACCUGCCUCAAAGAGGGGGACAACAGUUGGAAACGACUGCUAAUACCGCAUAUGCUAACAGUAUCGCAUGAUACAGUUAGGAAAGGAGCAAUCCGCUAAUAGAUGGGCUUGCGUCUGAUUAGCUAGUUGGUGGGGUAACGGCCUACCAAGGCGACGAUCAGUAGCCGGACUGAGAGGUUGAACGGCCACAUUGGGACUGAGAUACGGCCCAG
Molecule: ribosomal RNA, 311 nt
Filed under: uncultured bacterium
Lineage: Bacteria
Description: bacterial SSU rRNA
Rfam family: Bacterial small subunit ribosomal RNA
Source: RNAcentral